This 454-nucleotide ribosomal RNA is filed under the name uncultured bacterium. RNAcentral describes it as "bacterial SSU rRNA". It matches the Rfam family "Bacterial small subunit ribosomal RNA", at positions 364 to 832 of the family's 1533-position model. The record is from RNAcentral.
UUCGCAAUGCCCGAAAGGGUGAACGAGCGACGCCGCGUGCGGGAUGAAGGCCUUCGGGUCGUAAACCGCUUUUGCAAGGGAAAAACUUAAUGAUGGUACCUUGCGAAUAAGAGGUUACUAACUCUGUGCCAGCAGUAGCGGUAAUACAGAGACCUCAAGCGUUAUCCGGAUUUAUUGGGCGUAAAGCGCGUGUAGGCGGAUGGGAACGUCGGUCUUUGAAAGCCCCCGGCUCAACCGGGGAAGCGGAGCCGAAACGACCGAUCUGGAGGGACGUAUGGGGACCUGGAACUUCCGGUGGAGCGGUGAAAUGCGUUGAGAUCGGAAGGAACGCCCGUGGCGAAAGCGAGGUCCUGGACGUCUGCUGACGCUGAGACGCGAAAGCUAGGGGAGCAAACGGGAUUAGAUACCCCGGUAGUCCUAGCCGUAAACGAUGGGCACUAAGUAGAGGGGUUUU